AUUGGCCUCAGGAGAGCAUGGACAAACUUGUGGAUAGUGGCCUUCUCUUACUGCACCCUCCAUUUUGAUCAUUUUAAUGGAUGAGUUUAGGGUUCCUUCACUAGAAACAAGGACCAUUCCUGUAGUAGGCCCCAGCUCAUUUCUGUAAUUGACAUACUUCUAGCUGUACCACUUAUACCAUGACAAGAUCCAAGGGCAAAGCUGGUUGAUGAAUUUUAACUUUUAUAAGUUAAUUAUGAGAAUU
Molecule: non-coding RNA, 244 nt
Organism: Pelobates cultripes (western spadefoot toad)
Lineage: Eukaryota; Metazoa; Chordata; Amphibia; Anura; Pelobatidae
Source: the annotation of a GenBank genome assembly